Non-coding RNA from Vigna umbellata (rice bean), 1165 nucleotides. The record is from RefSeq and is a predicted model, not a curated record. NCBI's taxonomy places the organism in Eukaryota, Viridiplantae, Streptophyta, Magnoliopsida, Fabales, Fabaceae.
UAUAUCCCGCUCGCUGAUUUGUGCUUCCUUCAAUUAAGUUCUUCAUUUCACAGGCUUUUCUUGCUGCAUUUGUGUUUCUUCUUCAGUUAAGUUCUUCUUCAUUUCACAAGCUCUUCUUCCUUUCACAGGUCUUUCUUCUUCAUUUCAUUUAUGGAAAUUGAUUGGUAAUUUACCCUACGCCCUUCGUCCUUCGUUACUGAGUGUGCGUCGUUCGCCCCGUGCCUCGUCAUUGUCGCUUGAAUUUCCAGAAAUCGUUGAGUGUGGGCGUCUUCGUUCGUUGCCUGUAAGAACAAAAUCGUUGAGCAAUGCAAGGAGGGAGCGAGGAUCGGAUGUGCCGUCAGCGCUUCCAGGAACUGUAAGCCUACGUGGUGGAAGGCUCUGGCAGGCCUCACACUUCACGAUCUGAAGGAACGGGAGGAGUGCGAAGUGCAGGAUAGGGCGGAUUGUUUCGCCGUGGCUAAGGAGAAAUGUACAGGCUUCGCCAGGGAUAAGUGUUUGGUUCCCUUUAGGGAUGCAAGGAUUUGGGUUGCGAAAGGGGUUUUGAGUUCCAAGGGUGUUGGGAAGUUGAUUUGUUGGGGAUCGGUGCCUGUGAAUGGGAGGAACAUGUGGUUGAUGAAUCAAGGUUUGGGAAAAAAAUGUUUCUAUCAAGAGGAUUCUAUCAAGGUUCAUCAACAGAUACCAAUAUACGGUGAAGUUGAGAAACGAUAUAUUCAUGAUCCAUUACUUCCUUAGGCCACUAUUAUCAUGGGAGCUAGUUUUGUCUAAAAUUUUUGUCCCCCAUGGAAUGGCAUGUAGCACCUAGAAACACCACUGGCUUUUCUUUGUCCUUAUGGAAAAAUGCUUGGAAUGCUUUGGAUGUUGUCGGUGUUGGAGACAUCCUCCGCCGCUACCAUCAACAGCUCCAUGGGAUUGUCACCACUUCAUUGGUUACAGGGAAACAAAUAGAAGUCAAGUCUUUCAAACCAACAGAAAACCAAGAGUAUGUAUACUGUGAGAUCCCUACAUUUUAUUAUAGAUAUCUUUAUUCUUUCACAAGUGAUGUAUAAUCAAUUAGUAAGAAUUUAUUUUAAGCAAUCUUGUAGUAUAGAAAAGUAUUCAAUCAACAACAUGUUGAGCCUAGGGUAAGGAGGGUGGCAUUGAAUCGUGGUGUUGAGUACUUGGAGCA